CCUACGGGAGGCAGCAGUAAGGAAUAUUGGUCAAUGGGCGCAAGCCUGAACCAGCCAUGCCGCGUGCAGGAAGACGGCCCUAUGGGUUGUAAACUGCUUUUGAACAAGAGAAAACCUCGGUACGUGUACCGAGCUGAUAGUAUUGUUAGAAUAAGCAUCGGCUAACUUCGUGCCAGCAGCCGCGGUAAGACGAAGGAUGCAAGCGUUAUCCGGAUUCAUUGGGUUUAAAGGGUGCGUAGGCGGCCUGAUAAGUCAGUGGUGAAAUCUCUCAGCUUAACUGAGAAACUGCCAUUGAUACUGUCGGGCUUGAGUACAGAUGAUGUGGGCGGAAUAUGACAUGUAGUGGUGAAAUACUUAGAUAUGUCAUAGAACACCGAUUGCGAAGGCAGCUCACAAAACUGUAACUGACGCUGAGGCACGAAAGUGCGGGGAUCAAACAGGAUUAGAUACCCUGGUAGUCCGCACCGUAAACGAUGAUUACUCGUUGUUGGCAAUAUGACCGUCAGCGACCAAGCGAAAGCGAUAAGAAUCCACCUGGGAGUACGCCGCAACGGUGAAACUCAAAGGAAUUGACGGCGNGAGAGNGCGACGGACGACACGAGGGAGGAGG
This 610-nucleotide ribosomal RNA is filed under the name uncultured bacterium. RNAcentral's name for it is "bacterial SSU rRNA". It matches the Rfam family "Bacterial small subunit ribosomal RNA", at positions 338 to 953 of the family's 1533-position model. The record is from RNAcentral.